GUUCCCUUAGCUCAGUGGUACGAGCAUCGUACUUAUGAUGCGAUGGUCCCGAGUUCAAUCCUCGGAGGGAACA
Molecule: transfer RNA, 73 nt
Filed under: Botryobasidium botryosum FD-172 SS1
Lineage: Eukaryota; Fungi; Basidiomycota; Agaricomycetes; Cantharellales; Botryobasidiaceae
Description: tRNA-Ile (TAT) (tRNA-Ile-TAT-1-1)
Rfam family: tRNA
About the family: Transfer RNA (tRNA) molecules are approximately 80 nucleotides in length. Their secondary structure includes four short double-helical elements and three loops (D, anti-codon, and T loops).
Source: RNAcentral